AUGUAUAAUAAAGGUUUUGGUUCUUUGGCUUAUACAGCCAAAGGUUAAAAGGGAAUCGGGUGAAAAUCCCGAGCGGACCGGCCACUGUGAAUGGGGAGAACCUUUCGGUAAGACCACUGGAAAUGACUUCUGGGAAGGUGAAAGGAUUUGAUGAUCCAUGAGCCAGGAGACCUGCCAAAACCGUUAAGUAUAG
This 193-nucleotide non-coding RNA is filed under the name Caminicella sporogenes. Lineage: Bacteria; Bacillati; Bacillota; Clostridia; Peptostreptococcales; Caminicellaceae. RNAcentral also lists the same sequence under 1 other name. The record is from RNAcentral.